Molecule: ribosomal RNA, 1412 nt
Filed under: uncultured bacterium
Lineage: Bacteria
Description: bacterial SSU rRNA
Rfam family: Bacterial small subunit ribosomal RNA
Source: RNAcentral
AGAGUUUGAUCCUGGCUCAGGACGAACGCUGGCGGCGUGCCUAACACAUGCAAGUCGAACGGAGUAAGACGCUGAAAUUGAGAUUAGCUUGCUAAAGGAUAUUUCUUGUUUUACUUAGUGGCGGACGGGUGAGUAACGCGUGAGGAACCUGCCCUUCAGAGGGGGACAACAGUUGGAAACGACUGCUAAUACCGCAUGAUGUACAUUUGGGACAUCCCUUAUGUACCAAAGGAGCAAUCCGCUGAAGGAUGGCCUCGCGUCCGAUUAGAUAGUUGGUGGGGUAACGGCCCACCAAGUCGACGAUCGGUAGCCGGACUGAGAGGUUGAACGGCCACAUUGGGACUGAGACACGGCCCAGACUCCUACGGGAGGCAGCAGUGGGGGAUAUUGCACAAUGGGGGAAACCCUGAUGCAGCAACGCCGCGUGAAGGAAGAAGGUCUUCGGAUUGUAAACUUCUGUUUUUAGUGAAGAAACAAAUGACGGUAGCUAAAGAGGAAGCCACGGCUAACUACGUGCCAGCAGCCGCGGUAAUACGUAGGUGGCAAGCGUUGUCCGGAUUUACUGGGUGUAAAGGGUGCGCAGGCGGGACUGCAAGUUGGAUGUGAAAUACCGGAGCUCAACUCCGGAACUGCAUCCAAAACUGUAGUUCUUGAGUGGAGUAGAGGUAAGCGGAAUUCCGAGUGUAGCGGUGAAAUGCGUAGAUAUUCGGAGGAACACCAGUGGCGAAGGCGGCUUACUGGGCUCUAACUGACGCUGAGGCACGAAAGUGUGGGUAGCAAACAGGAUUAGAUACCCUGGUAGUCCACACUGUAAACGAUGAAUACUAGGUGUGGGGGGACUGACCCCUUCCGUGCCGGAGUUAACACAAUAAGUAUUCCACCUGGGGAGUACGACCGCAAGGUUGAAACUCAAAGGAAUUGACGGGGGCCCGCACAAGCAGUGGAGUAUGUGGUUUAAUUCGAAGCAACGCGAAGAACCUUACCAGGUCUUGACAUCCGACUAACGAAGUAGAGAUACAUUAGGUGCCCUUCGGGGAAAGUCGAGACAGGUGGUGCAUGGUUGUCGUCAGCUCGUGUCGUGAGAUGUUGGGUUAAGUCCCGCAACGAGCGCAACCCUCGUUCUAUGUUGCCAGCGCGUUAUGGCGGGGACUCAUAGGAGACUGCCGGGGUCAACUCGGAGGAAGGUGGGGACGACGUCAAAUCAUCAUGCCCCUUAUGUCUUGGGCUUCACGCAUGCUACAAUGGCCGGUACAAAGGGUUGCGAUACUGUGAGGUGGAGCUAAUCCCAAAAAGCCGGUCUCAGUUCGGAUUGAGGUCUGCAACUCGACCUCAUGAAGUUGGAGUCGCUAGUAAUCGCAGAUCAGCAACGCUGCGAUGAAUACGUUCCCGGGCCUUGUACACACCGCCCGUCA